AGAGUUUGAUCCUGGCUCAGAACGAACGCUGGCGGCGUGGAUAAGACAUGCAAGUCGAGCGCUGAUUACAGGGUAGCAAUAUUCUGUGGUCGGAGCGGCGCAAGGGUGCGUAACACGUGGGCAAUCUGCCGUGAAGUCCGGGACAACUUGCUGAAAGGCGAGCUAAUACCGGAUGUGAAAAUCUGGAGGCAUCUUUUGAUUUUCAAAGUUGGGGACCGUAAGGCCUGACGCUUCAUGAUGAGCCCGCGGCCUAUCAGCUAGUUGGUGAGGUAACGGCCCACCAAGGCUAAGACGGGUAGCUGGUCUGAGAGGACGACCAGCCACACUGGAAAUGAGACACGGUCCAGACACCUACGGGUGGCAGCAGUCGAGAAUUUUUCACAAUGGGCGCAAGCCCGAUGGAGGGACGCCGCGUGGGGGAUGAAUGGCUUCGGCCCCUAACCUUACUGUCAUUUGCGAUCAACCGUUAUUAUUUAAAAGAUGAUAACCUGAUAGUAGCGAAAGAGGAAGGGUCGGUU
RNAcentral lists this ribosomal RNA (518 nucleotides) under uncultured soil bacterium. RNAcentral describes it as "bacterial SSU rRNA". It matches the Rfam family "Bacterial small subunit ribosomal RNA", at positions 8 to 498 of the family's 1533-position model. The record is from RNAcentral.